RNAcentral lists this ribosomal RNA (488 nucleotides) under uncultured bacterium. RNAcentral's name for it is "bacterial SSU rRNA". It matches the Rfam family "Bacterial small subunit ribosomal RNA", at positions 21 to 507 of the family's 1533-position model. The record is from RNAcentral.
GGCUCAGAUUGAACGCUGGCGGCAUGCCUUACACAUGCAAGUCGAACGGUAACAGCACUUCGGUGGCUGACGAGUGGCGAACGGGUGAGUAAUACAUCGGAACGUGCCCGAGAGUGGGGGAUAACGCAGCGAAAGCUGUGCUAAUACCGCAUACGAUCUACGGAUGAAAGCAGGGGACCGCAAGGCCUUGCGCUCAUGGAGCGGCCGAUGGCAGAUUAGGUAGUUGGUGGGAUAAAAGCUUACCAAGCCGACGAUCUGUAGCUGGUCUGAGAGGACGACCAGCCACACUGGGACUGAGACACGGCCCAGACUCCUACGGGAGGCAGCAGUGGGGAAUUUUGGACAAUGGGCGAAAGCCCGAUCCAGCCAUGCCGCGUGCAGGAUGAAGGCCUUCGGGUUGUAAACUGCUUUGUACGGAACGAAAAGGUCUUUUCUAAUAAAGAAGGCUCAUGACGGUACCGUAAGAAUAAGCACCGGCUAACUACGUG